GACGAACGCUGGCGGCGUGCUUAACACAUGCAAGUCGAACGGAAAGGCCCUGCUUUUGUUGGGUGCUCGAGUGGCGAACGGGUGAGUAACACGUGAGUAACCUGCCCUUGACUUUGGGAUAACUUCAGGAAACUGGGGCUAAUACCGGAUAGGAGCUCCUGCUGCAUGGUGGGGGUUGGAAAGUUUCGGCGGUUGGGGAUGGACUCGCGGCUUAUCAGCUUGUUGGUGGGGUAGUGGCUUACCAAGGCUUUGACGGGUAGCCGGCCUGAGAGGGUGACCGGCGACAUUGGGACUGCGGUACGCACCAGACUCCUACGGGAGGCAGCAGUGGGGAAUAUUGCACAAUGGGCGGACGCCUGAUGCAGAAACGCCGCGUGCGGGAUGACGGCCUUCGGGUUGUAAACCGCUUUCGACUGUGACGAAGAGUGAGUGACGGUAAUGGGUAAAGAAGCAACGGCUAACUACGUG
This 468-nucleotide ribosomal RNA is filed under the name uncultured bacterium. Its description in RNAcentral is "partial 16S ribosomal RNA". It matches the Rfam family "Bacterial small subunit ribosomal RNA", at positions 28 to 507 of the family's 1533-position model. The record is from RNAcentral.